GAUGAAGAACGCAGCGAAAUGCGAUAAGUAAUGUGAAUUGCAGAAUUCAGUGAAUCAUCGAAUCUUUGAACGCACCUUGCGCUCUUUGGUAUUCCGAAGAGCAUGCCUGUUUGAGUGUCAUGAAAAUAUCAACCUUGACUUGGGUUUUGUGCUCUAGUCUCGGCUUGGAAUUGGGUGCUUGCCGCUUUUACGAGCGGCUCACCUUAAAUGUAUUAGCUGGAUCUGUCUUUGAGACUUGGUUUGACUUGGCGUAAUAAGUAUUUCGCUAAGGACAUUCUUCGGAGUGGCCUCGUUUCUAGGACGCUUGUCCGCUUUCCAAUACAAGUUCCACCUCGUGGACAUGACUUUUUAUUAUCUGGCCUCAAAUCAGGUAGGACUACCCGCUGAACUUAAGCAUAUCAAUAGCGGAGGA
RNAcentral lists this unclassified non-coding RNA (412 nucleotides) under soil metagenome. RNAcentral's name for it is "partial contains 5.8S ribosomal RNA, internal transcribed spacer 2, and large subunit ribosomal RNA". The stretch from base 1 to 120 matches the Rfam family "5.8S ribosomal RNA", at positions 35 to 154 of the family's 154-position model. The record is from RNAcentral.